AUGGCGCUGGUGGUGGGAGCUUCGGCGGCGACGAUGAAGUCCGUCAUGGGCAAGCUGGGCAGCCUCCUCGCCCAGGAGUACACCCUGAUUCGGGGGGUCAACGGCGACCUCCAGUACAUCAACGACGAGCUGGCCACCAUGCAGUCCUUCCUCCGCGACCUCGGCGGCAUCCUCGACGGGGCCCGGGCCAAGGGCCAUGCCCACCGGAUGAACGACUGGAUGAAGCAGAUCCGGGACAUCACCUACGACAUCGAGGAUUGCAUCGACGACUCCGGCCACCGCCUCCACGGCCUGCGCUCCGACAUGUGCUGCUACUUCUUCGCCAACAGCGUCUACGAGGUCCUCACCUGGUGGCCUCGCCGCGACGUCGCCGCCAAGAUCUCUGUUCUCAAGAUGCGGGCGCAGCAGAUCGGCGAGCGCCGGGAGAGGUACGGCGUCAGCAACCCGGAGGCCCCCGCCGGUACCGAGGGAUCUAAUUCUGGGCACACCACUUCCGUUGGAUUCGACGCAGCGGACAACCAGGACGCAAGCCUUCAGCUUGUUGCCAUGAAGGACCCGGUGGGAGUGGACGAACACAUGAAGGAGCUGGAGGAGUGGCUGACCAACGACAAGAACAGCUCCGGCGUGCUGUAUGUUGUCGGGUUCGGAGGGGUGGGGAAGACCACCAUCGCCACUGCCUUGUACCAGAAAUUUGGGGAUCGGUUCGACCACCGUGCGAUGGUCACCGUGUCUCAGAGCUCCGACAUCAAUGCUGUCCUGACCAACAUUAAGAAUCAAGUCAUGCCGCAGUCCAGCGUCCAAGCGCAGCAAGGCGCCGAAGGCGUGCUCGGUCGGCUCAAGCAAGGUGCCUCGGCAUUUGCGGCCAAGUGCUGCUCCGCCGGCACCUCGAAGGAAACACGUGGUGAGACGAAGCUAGACCAAAUCAAGGAAGACCUCAAGAAGCACUUUGAUAACAACAGUUACUUGGUUUUGGUUGAUGAUGUUUGGUCUGCAGCAACGUGGGACCAGAUAAGGAAGUCACUUCCUCCAAGUAAGCAACACAGAAGAAUAAUAGUCACUACACGGUUUCAAGCUGUUGCUAAAACAUGCAGAGGGGAAGAAGGCCUUCCUUGA
This 1113-nucleotide ribosomal RNA is filed under the name Triticum aestivum (bread wheat). RNAcentral describes it as "partial small subunit ribosomal RNA". The record is from RNAcentral. Lineage: Eukaryota; Viridiplantae; Streptophyta; Magnoliopsida; Poales; Poaceae.